UGUUAUCCCCGUACAUACCGUAUUUUCACCGCUGCUUCCGGAAACUUGUUUUACACAUCGAGCGCAGAGCUACUGCCGAAGAAGACAGCUGAAUAAAAGCCAAGUUACAUUAACCCCUCACACGCCGAUUGAUCGGCUGCAUCCAGAAGACACAGCGAGACUGAACCUGGCUCCAUCUGGAUGACAGCGGGGGACACGACGAGGAGACACAGGCUGAAAUUUCAUAAAAAAUGGGCUUGCUGGAUCCACUUUACAGGUCCUGCAGAAUUCCACAAUUCUUUAAAUCCUCUACCUUGACUUAUCCUGGGACAGAUUCCUUUCAAGAACAUUCACGUUAUUAUUUUCAACUCAGUAAAACAUAUACUACCACUCCCUUAUGUACCCCGGUUCUCCCCUCGUUAUUCUCACAUAAUAAACUAUAUCAUUUUAAUACUCUAUUUAUAUUACACUACUCUGGAUACAUAAAUAUAUAAAAAUGUAUUUAUUCUAUUAUAUACUCUGAUUGAAUAAGAAACUUGUUUUACACAUUGACUAUGUGGAUCUUCUCUUAUACCGUAUUUGCAUUAUUCUCUAUUGUAUGGAUUUAUUGUAAAUCUAUUGUAUGGAUUUAUUGUAAAUCUUUAUGUUCAUUUCAUGUAAAAUGAUAAUACUUAAUAAAAACAUUGUAACAAA
Molecule: long non-coding RNA, 672 nt
Organism: Rana temporaria (common frog)
Lineage: Eukaryota; Metazoa; Chordata; Amphibia; Anura; Ranidae
Exons: 2
Source: RefSeq, a predicted model, not a curated record